UUAAUCGAGCCAUUAAUUAAUCCCAACAUCACCUAAGAACCCUUAAAUAGUAUUGAGUAAUUCUAUACUACUAUAGAAAAUUUUAUGUUAAAACUAGUAACAAGAAGAAGAACUUCUCCACUAAUGCAAGUGUAAAUCAGACAGGACACCCCGCUGAUAAUUAACACCAAUGAACAAAAAGUAGCAACCUAACAAGAAAACCCUACUAAACUAGAUGUUAACCUAACACCAGAGCAUUACAAAAAAGAUUAAAAGAAAGAGAAGGAACUCGGCAAAUAUUAACCUCGCCUGUUUACCAAAAACAUCGCCUCUUGAAUAAAUAUAAGAGGUCCAGCCUGCCCAGUGACUCUGUUCAACGGCCGCGGUAUCCUAACCGUGCGAAGGUAGCGUAAUCACUUGUUCUUUAAAUGAGGACUAGUAUGAAUGGCAUCACGAAGGUUAUACUGUCUCCUCUUUCUAAUCAGUGAAACUAAUCUCCCCGUGAAGAAGCGGGAAUAAACAUAUAAGACGAGAAGACCCUAUGGAGCUUUAAACUAUGUAACACUUGCACUUUUACAACACAAAUUUCAGAAAAAUCUAUUUAAUUCAUGCAAGAUUAUUACCAGUUUUAGGUUGGGGUGACCGCGGAGCAAAAAAUAACCUCCACAUUGAAAGGAACCUACUCCUUAGCCUAGAGCCACACCUCCACGCACCAUUACAAUGACAUUAAUUGACCCAAUAUUUUGAUCAACGAACCAAGUUACCCUAGGGAUAACAGCGCAAUCCGCUUCAAGAGCUCCUAUCGACAAGUGGGUUUACGACCUCGAUGUUGGAUCAGGGUAUCCCGGUGGUGCAGCCGCUACCAAAGGUUCGUUUG
RNAcentral lists this ribosomal RNA (856 nucleotides) under Espadarana audax (Napo giant glass frog). RNAcentral describes it as "Centrolene audax (Napo giant glass frog) partial 16S ribosomal RNA". It matches the Rfam family "Bacterial large subunit ribosomal RNA", at positions 1491 to 2579 of the family's 2925-position model. The record is from RNAcentral. Lineage: Eukaryota; Metazoa; Chordata; Amphibia; Anura; Centrolenidae.